Molecule: ribosomal RNA, 433 nt
Filed under: uncultured bacterium
Lineage: Bacteria
Description: partial 16S ribosomal RNA
Rfam family: Bacterial small subunit ribosomal RNA
Source: RNAcentral
AACGAACGCUGGCGGCAUGCCUAACACAUGCAAGUCGAACGAGACCUUCGGGUCUAUUGGCUCACGGGUGCGUAACGCGUGGGAACCUGCCCUUAGGUUCGGAAUAACUCGCCGAAAGGGGUUCUAAUACCGGAUAAUUACUUCGGACCAAAUAUUGAUCGCCUUUGGAUGGGCCCGCGCUGGAUUACCUAGUUGAUAGGGUAAAAGCCUACGAAGGCGACGAGCCGUAGCUGGUAUGAGAGGAUGAUCAGCCACACUGUGACUGAGAAACGGCCCAGACUCUUGCGGGAGGCAGGAGUGGGGGAUAUUGGACAAUGGGCGAAAGGCUGAUGCAGCAAUGCCGCGUGAGUGCUGAAGGCCUUAGGGUUGUAAAGCUCUUUUACCCGGGAUGAUAAUGACAGUACCGGGAGAAUAAGCUCCGGCUAACUCCGUG